RNAcentral lists this ribosomal RNA (497 nucleotides) under uncultured bacterium. RNAcentral describes it as "partial 16S ribosomal RNA". It matches the Rfam family "Bacterial small subunit ribosomal RNA", at positions 28 to 507 of the family's 1533-position model. The record is from RNAcentral.
GAUGAACGCUGGCGGCGUGCCUAAUACAUGCAAGUCGAGCGAACAGACGAGGAGCUUGCUCCUCUGACGUUAGCGGCGGACGGGUGAGUAACACGUGGAUAACCUACCUAUAAGACUGGGAUAACUUCGGGAAACCGGAGCUAAUACCGGAUAAUAUAUUGAACCGCAUGGUUCAAUAGUGAAAGACGGUUUUGCUGUCACUUAUAGAUGGAUCCGCGCCGCAUUAGCUAGUUGGUAAGGUAACGGCUUACCAAGGCAACGAUGCGUAGCCGACCUGAGAGGGUGAUCGGCUACACUGGAACUGAGACACGGUCCAGACUCCUACGGGAGGCAGCAGUAGGGAAUCUUCCGCAAUGGGCGAAAGCUUGACGGAGCAACACCGCGUGAGUGAUGAAGGUCUUCGGAUCGUAAAACUCUGUUAUUAGGGAAGAACAAAUGUGUAAGUAACUAUGCACGUCUUGACGGUACCUAAUCAGAAAGCCACGGCUAACUACGUG